AGCGAACGCUGGCGGCGUACUUAACACAUGCAAGUCGAACGGGGAUCGACACGUGAGCAAUCACGUGGCGGUCUUAGUGGCGUACGGGUGAGUAACACGUGGGCAACCUGCCCCUUUGAGUCUGGGGAUAACCGUCCCGAAAGGGAGGCUAAUACCGGGAUACGGUCCUCGGGUCGCGAGAUCUGAGGAAGAAAGGUGGCGCAAGGCUACCGCUCUUGGAGGGACUCGCGGCCUAUCAGCUAGUUGGUGAGGUAAUGGCUCACCAAGGCUAUGACGGGUAGCUGGUCUGAGAGGACGACCAG
This 302-nucleotide ribosomal RNA is filed under the name uncultured bacterium. RNAcentral describes it as "bacterial SSU rRNA". It matches the Rfam family "Bacterial small subunit ribosomal RNA", at positions 29 to 307 of the family's 1533-position model. The record is from RNAcentral.